UACAAUACAAAUUUAGCAGCAGCGUUCGUAAAUGAGGCGAGUAAUCAGCGAGUGGUUUGCGCAAUGAAUUUUAUGUUAAAUUUCAUUCAAUAGGAUAUUUUGGAAAUUUACAUUUCAAAUUGUAAUUUGAAUAGCAUAAAAAUCGCAAAAAUUAGUAUUUUAAUUAUGUAGGUUAUAGUAGUAUAUAUAAAAUAUUGUCAUCGAUCGUACGCAGACGCAGUAGUUUACAGCAGUUUGUCACAGUAGAGACAUGACAGAGAAAUCACCAACAACGCAACGGAAGCGAACACAAAAGAGUAACAGAAAAACGGCAUUUCCAAAGAACAUAUAUAUAAAAAAAAACAUUGAAAUUAUUGGAAAAAAGAAAUCGAGAGAAAAAAGAGAAGAAAGAAUUCAUUUAUGGAUUGUACUUGAUUAGUAAAAUAAAAUAAAUUUAAUAGAGACUAUACUUAAUUUUUAGGUUCAUAUUUUUUUUUUCUUUUUGGUAUGAAAAUUUACGCAUUUUAAAGUGUAAAAAAUUGUCAGAAUACUACGAAAAUUGUAUUGUGAACAAAGAGUGUUAAAUCUAGCUGAUUUAUCAAUCUUUGUAUUGCCAUUCGAAUUUUGAGGAAUUUUUGAGAGAGUACCAGAACUAUCAAACAUGCUUUUUUUACGUAGUAGAUUAUGGAGUUCGCAUUUUAACAAAACUUCGUACAGUACCAGGAAAAAAUAAUGCACUUAAAAGUUUUGCUUAAUCAUUAGGGUUCGAGGAAACUGACAUUUCUUUUCGAAAAAUUUUGAUUUCCUCAAAUCUCAAAAUAGUGCAUUUUUUUGGUAAUUUUUUCUUUGUUUCAACUAGACUCUGGUAAUCUCCUUGGGAGUACCAAAUUCAAUCCAUGUGUCUGAUUUUGCGAGCGUUUUCUUGGCUGAAGUUUUGACUAUCGCCGAAGGCAAUUGAAAUCGAUUUAGGAGAGAAGUUCUUUUAAAAGAGUUUGUAAUCAGUUCAAAGUAGACUUAAUUUGGUUUUUUGGACCUAUUGUAAUAUACCCGGAAAAGAGGAUGUUGAUGAGUUAUCUAUCGGAAAUAUCGGAGAAUUUGUUUACAAUCCCCAGCAGUCGGGUCUUAAGUGGCGGAUAGUCUCAGACUGCGGAAUUGUCUAACCCAUGUGGCCCGAGUACAACCUCAAAAGAAUACGCAAUUUAUUGGUAAAAAAAAAAACUGGCGGGCCAAACGCGACUUGUAAGCUAAGUUUUUUCGUCAAGUUUUUUACCUAACCUAUACCCAGCGCUUCUCCGAGGGGAGAUGCAGAUCGUCCAUUGGCCGCAGACCGUCCAUAAAAGCAACAAACCAAUAUGUAUAUUCCUUGAGUUCACAAAAAAAUUUGUCUUCAAAGAAUUACCCUUAGGCGCUUAGAGACAGCGGCGGUGAUGGAAUGGCUCUUAACAUUUGUCAAACUUUAAUUGAUCGGA
This is a long non-coding RNA of Rhagoletis zephyria (snowberry fruit fly), 1448 nucleotides long. RefSeq lists it as uncharacterized. The record is from RefSeq and is a predicted model, not a curated record. Lineage: Eukaryota; Metazoa; Arthropoda; Insecta; Diptera; Tephritidae.